Lates calcarifer (barramundi perch) is the source of this 1305-nucleotide long non-coding RNA. RefSeq lists it as uncharacterized. The record is from RefSeq and is a predicted model, not a curated record. The transcript has 3 exons. NCBI's taxonomy places the organism in Eukaryota, Metazoa, Chordata, Actinopteri, Centropomidae.
GAGAACCGUUGAUUCUGUCGACAUCUUGUGGUUAAACGUCGUAAUGGGUGAAAAAGAGAUUGUUUGAGCACUCUUUCAGCAACAUUUGGGUUUUGGACGAUUGUCUUCAGAUCCAAGGCUAAAUGUGACUGGGCUUUUGCUGUCAGGGCCCCUCAGCUUUAGAACUCCUGAAUAAGGAUCUUGGGCACGUAGAAUCAUUGAGAAAACAUCAGUUGUCCAGUUCAACAUAGUGCAGCCAUUGAAGACCCCAGAUCCCAGUUAACACACUGAAGCGCGGUAAUGGGAGCUUACAAGAGGGUGUCCUUGUGUCCCUGAUACAGGUUUGAUCCCAAGUAUUCCUAUCAAUACAGCUGGGCUUUUGUCAUUAAACCAGAUGUGCUAAAUUUAUUGUAGUAUCCUCUGCAAUAUUUUAACUUAAAAUGUAAUUUAAGCAUCCAGUUCCUUAGUGAAAUAUGAGACUAAUUUCUAUGAACUAAUAUGUUAUGCUUUAUUGUAAAAUACACUGUAUGAAAAAAAGGGGUUAAUUCUCUUCCAGUGAGCAUAGCUUUAACAAAAUAGCUUACGUUAUAUUCAGAAUAUAAACGUUUUUGCCUUCUUUAAAACAUGUUAAUAUUUUCCAAUACAGCACCAGUGUGUUUCUCCAAAAUACAAAAUAGUUCAUGUUCUUUGCAGUGAAAUAAGGUUCUUCUCUGCUUUUCUUGUUUCAGUGUUACUGAAGGAAACAUGCAGGGGAAAUAGUUAAGAUUAGAACCCAUUAAAUUUGUACCGGUUAACAAACACUUUAAUUGACAUUCGUUGAAGCACAGUGCAUUUGCCGUGUUGUGGUAUGUGACCAUGUACAAGAACAUUAUUGUUUUGAGAGCCAAGCACAUAGGGAGCCUUGGGAGGCUGAAACUGGAGCUGUGUGUCAGUGUAGCAAAGACCUGAAGGAUUUGGGGGUCAAACAAAAAGGUGCACUGGGGCCUGCGCCCCACUAUCGCAGCUGCCAGCCUCCAAGUACAGACGUGAGAGGCCCCGCUGUGGCACAAGGGUUUUACGUAGAGCUGGUAUCAGCAGCUCGGAAGUGGCUAAUACUGCACAGUUAUCACUCUGCUCCUUGAGAGCCACAGUUGCUUUCUCCUUGUCAUCACACAGACUCUGUUGCUGCUACAUUGCAUUUUCUCCCCAGUCAAAGCUCUCCUUGGCAGGGCUUGAGCCCCAGCACUGAGGCCUGGUGGCAGCUGAGGCCCGCGGCCCGGUCCCCCUGCGUGCCUCUGCGAGUGGUGGUCUGCUAUGCUUGUGCAGCAUUUGAAAGUGCUCCCACUG